This 413-nucleotide ribosomal RNA is filed under the name uncultured bacterium. RNAcentral describes it as "bacterial SSU rRNA". It matches the Rfam family "Bacterial small subunit ribosomal RNA", at positions 38 to 453 of the family's 1533-position model. The record is from RNAcentral.
GGCGGCAUGCUUUACACAUGCAAGUCGAACGGCAGCGGGGGCUUCGGCCUGCCGGCGAGUGGCGAACGGGUGAGUAAUGCAUCGGAACGUGCCCAGUCAUGGGGGAUAACUACGCGAAAGCGUAGCUAAUACCGCAUACGCCCUGAGGGGGAAAGCGGGGGAUCGCAAGACCUCGCGUGAUUGGAGCGGCCGAUGUCGGAUUAGCUGGUUGGUGGGGUAAAGGCCUACCAAGGCGACGAUCCGUAGCGGGUCUGAGAGGAUGAUCCGCCACACUGGGACUGAGACACGGCCCAGACUCCUACGGGAGGCAGCAGUGGGGAAUUUUGGACAAUGGGGGCAACCCUGAUCCAGCCAUGCCGCGUGAGUGAAGAAGGCCUUCGGGUUGUAAAGCUCUUUCAGACGGAAAGAAAUCG